Non-coding RNA from Podarcis lilfordi (Lilford's wall lizard), 75 nucleotides. NCBI's taxonomy places the organism in Eukaryota, Metazoa, Chordata, Lepidosauria, Squamata, Lacertidae. The record is from the annotation of a GenBank genome assembly.
AUACUCUUAGCUCAGUUGGUAGAGCAUGAGACCCUUAAUCACGUGGUGGCGAGUUCGAGCCUUGGGCAAAAGAUU